RNAcentral lists this ribosomal RNA (253 nucleotides) under uncultured bacterium. Its description in RNAcentral is "partial 16S ribosomal RNA". It matches the Rfam family "Bacterial small subunit ribosomal RNA", at positions 524 to 776 of the family's 1533-position model. The record is from RNAcentral.
UACAGAGGGUGCAAGCGUUGUUCGGAAUUAUUGGGCGUAAAGCGCACGUAGGCGGCUUUGUAAGUUAGAGGUGAAAGCCUGGAGCUCAACUUCAGAAUAGCCUUUAAGACUGCAUCGCUUGAAUCCAGGAGAGGUGAGUGGAAUUCCGAGUGUAGAGGUGAAAUGCGCAGAUAUCAGGAAGAACACCCGUGGCGAAGGCGGCUCUCUGGGACGGUACUGACGCUGAGACGCGAAAGCGUGGGGAGCGAACAGG